AUACGAACUCGAGCGCUUUUU
Molecule: non-coding RNA, 21 nt
Organism: Caenorhabditis elegans
Lineage: Eukaryota; Metazoa; Nematoda; Chromadorea; Rhabditida; Rhabditidae
Source: Ensembl